CGAGGGAUUUUCGGCAAUGGGCGCAAGCCUGACCGAGCAACGCCGCGUGCGGGACGACGCCCUUCGGGGUGUAAACCGCUUUUCGGUGGGACGAUGAUGACGGUACCACCGGAAUAAGCCUCGGCUAACUACGUGCCAGCAGCCGCGGUAAGACGUAGGAGGCGAGCGUUGUCCGGAUUUACUGGGCGUAAAGCGCGCGCAGGCGGUCGCGCAGGUCAUCUGUGAAAGCCCCCGGCUCAACCGGGCGGAUGCGGGUGAAACCGCGCGACUUGAGGGUGGGAGAGGUCGGCGGAAUUCCCGGUGUAGUGGUGAAAUGCGUAGAUAUCGGGAGGAACACCCGUAGCGAAGGCGGCCGACUGGACCACACCUGACGCUGAGGCGCGAAGGCCAGGGGAGCGAACGG
Molecule: ribosomal RNA, 403 nt
Filed under: uncultured bacterium
Lineage: Bacteria
Description: bacterial SSU rRNA
Rfam family: Bacterial small subunit ribosomal RNA
Source: RNAcentral